This 388-nucleotide transfer-messenger RNA is filed under the name Micrococcaceae. Its description in RNAcentral is "Arthrobacter sp006715305 Standard tmRNA". It matches the Rfam family "transfer-messenger RNA". Rfam says of the family: Bacterial tmRNA, also known as 10Sa RNA or SsrA, is named for its dual tRNA and mRNA-like properties. Its role is to liberate the mRNA from a stalled ribosome. The record is from RNAcentral. RNAcentral also lists the same sequence under 1 other name. Lineage: Bacteria; Bacillati; Actinomycetota; Actinomycetes; Micrococcales.
GGGGGUGACUUGGUUUCGAUACCGCCUGAUCAUUCCGGGAAGAAGCGGGUAGGGAAGCGCACGGGAAUCCUUUCAAAAAUCCGGGCAACAAGAGAUGCCAACGCAACACGCUCUGAUCUCGCCCUCGCCGCUUAGUCGGCCGGGGACCUAAUCGAGGUCUGUCUCAAACCGCAUCAGGCAACUGGUUCUCGGCCGCGGUUUAGGCAUCAGCAAAGGAGACCUGGAUGACGGCAGCGUUGCGGGCCGACAUCUGUACCAGCAGCUAGACCGGGACGGGACGUUGUCCGCCAUGCUCCAUCCGGGUCGAUAAGCACCAAGGUGGACUACACCCGUAGAAGAGUUCGGAAUCAGGGGGUACACGAGGGUUCGAAUCCCUCCACCUCCACCA